Long non-coding RNA from Hemicordylus capensis (graceful crag lizard), 991 nucleotides. RefSeq lists it as uncharacterized. The transcript has 4 exons. The record is from RefSeq and is a predicted model, not a curated record. Lineage: Eukaryota; Metazoa; Chordata; Lepidosauria; Squamata; Cordylidae.
AACUGACCUCCCCCUUAACCAAUCCUCUUUUUCAGUUCUUCAGUUCUCCCCCGGUGGGCACUUCAGGGAGGAUGCUACUCCACAGGUUCCAGCUGGCUUGCCGCCUGACUCGCCGUCUCUGCCUGCUGGGAACUUGGUUGUCCACCUCCAUUCCCACGUUUGAAUGGUGUAUCGAUCCAAGAGCUGGCGUGCCCUCGGACUGACCGCCCAUCAAGAUGGUGGCGCCAUUACCAAGCUGGUUCUCGCCGCCGUCACCUGAUGCGGGAUGGAUGGAGCUCUGGGGGUGUAGGACUGGAUCUCUGGCCCCCCUCGAUUCCCCUUCUUCUUCCUGGGACCAGGAAUCCCUACUCUCUCAUUUUAACCCUGAGAUGGAAUCCGUAGCUUGUGAAGAGAAUGCCCUGCCUCCUAGCUGGCUCUGCUGCAAGGAAGAAAAGCAGCCUGGACACAUUCAGCAGGGACAGCUCCCUCUUCAGGCAAAGUGAGGCAAUCGCCUCAGGCAGGACCUUUGGGGGUCUUGUGGGGUGUGUGUGUGUGUGUGUGUGUGUGUGUGUGUGAGAGAGAGAGAGAGAGAGAGACAAAAUGCACCCCUGCUUGCAUCGCCACCACCGCGGCUGAAUACACACUCCACGCUGCUGCCUACCCGUGUAGGCAGACACUUAGAUUAUGGGAGCUGCUGCCUACCCGUGUGGGCAAAGGGGGCGGAUGGCGCACCAGCAAUCCUUGGGCCAGCCCUGUGUGGUGUGGGGGGACAACCAGCAAUGAGCCCAUGAUGCUGCUGCCAUGAAGGAAUCUGCACUCAAAUUCUCACUUCAGAUUAAUAAAUCAGGGCUACUAUCAGCUUGAGUCACUGCAAUUUCCCCCGCUUCACUGUGUUCUUUCCGUGCCUUUAGCAAUUGCUUGGGAGGAGAUGAGAGAUUCAUCAGGUGCAGCUUCCCCCAGCUUGGAGAAGUGAUGAGCUUUACCUCUAUUCAGAGGCACAAUAACCCCCAGA